This is a non-coding RNA of Triticum aestivum (bread wheat), 135 nucleotides long. The record is from Rfam. NCBI's taxonomy places the organism in Eukaryota, Viridiplantae, Streptophyta, Magnoliopsida, Poales, Poaceae.
GUAAUACUCCCUCCAUCUUAAAAAGCUUGUCUUAGAUUCGUCAAGAUACGGAUGUAUCUAGACACGUUUUAGUGUUAGAUACAUUUGCAUCUAGAUAAAUCUAAGACAAACUUUUUGAUACGAAGGUAAUAUAAU